Molecule: RNase P RNA, 380 nt
Filed under: pig gut metagenome
Description: Bacterial RNase P class A
Rfam family: Bacterial RNase P class A
About the family: Ribonuclease P (RNase P) is a ubiquitous endoribonuclease, found in archaea, bacteria and eukarya as well as chloroplasts and mitochondria. Its best characterised activity is the generation of mature 5'-ends of tRNAs by cleaving the 5'-leader elements of precursor-tRNAs. Cellular RNase Ps are ribonucleoproteins.
Source: RNAcentral
AUCAUGUGGUCGCAGUCCAAGUGUUAUGCUUGGAGUGAGGAAAGUCCGGGCUUCGCAGAACAGGGUGCUGGCUAACUACCAGCGGAGGCGACUCUAGGGAAAGUGCAACAGAAAUAAACUGUCACGAGUUUCUCGUCCCCAAAAGGGGCUGAUGUCAAUAUAAGUUCAACGAAAGUUGAUAUCUGGACGAUGGUGGAAAGGCGGUUUAAGAGACCACCGCUUGAUUGGUGACAAUCAGGGCUAUGUAAACCCCACCCGAAGCAAGACUAAAAGUGCCAAUUUGUUGUUCGCAAGGCGCUUAAAAAUGUCGCUUGAGCCAUAUGGCAACAUAUGGCCUAGAUAGAUGACCACUUAAUACAGAACUCGGCUUAUAGAUUGCU